Long non-coding RNA from Pygocentrus nattereri (red-bellied piranha), 612 nucleotides. RefSeq lists it as uncharacterized. The transcript has 5 exons. Lineage: Eukaryota; Metazoa; Chordata; Actinopteri; Characiformes; Serrasalmidae. The record is from RefSeq and is a predicted model, not a curated record.
GGAAACGUGGCAAUGCGGCUGCAGAAGAGGGCGAAUUGAAACCGCGAUUUGGGACGAGUCCUAAGUCCUUUAUGGGUUCAUGGGUGGAGACUAUAAUGGAAGAACACAGUCAGCAUGUUGUUUCUGUCUCUGAGCCGGUUUGCCACUGAAGACACGGAUAAUGGAGAAGUCCCGUAACUCGUCCGUGUAUGAACUGACAUAUGAGUAUUACUAUGAUUACUUGGAUCCAGUGAUCGUGGAUUCGAGAACCCUCAGAUACAACAGAUAUUCAAUCGUUAUCAUAUUCUGGAUCAUCAUGGCUGCGUUUAUUGGACUUUUCUUCUUGAUUCUGAUAAAUAUUUCCCGGACUGGGUUUCAUCCGAGGCGUCCUAGUAUUAGGAGAACAGCAAGCUUGUUAUUGAGAAGGAAAGCAAGAUGUCCUUCAUCUAAACCACUGGUGUGAUGAAAGCAAAGAAUCAGCAGUGACUCUGAGCACUGCCACUGGACUGCAGUAGCUGUAUGUGUGCAUUGACCAUCUGACUCUGGAAGCUUCGUGGGAUCAAACAUCCACAGCUACCAUCCUUAUCUGUUCAUCAAACACCUCUUCAAUAAAAUGCCUAUUUUGCAAUACCC